UAAUAUAAUUUACAAGUACGAAUUUAAUAAAAAAUUCAUAAUAGUAAUACAUUCAAUCCCAUGGCUUUUUCUAUCGAAGCUCUUCAGAGUAAAUCCAAAUUAAAUACAAAAUAUCGACAACAUUCAAUUACGUUGUGGUCGGAGCUGAGAUUGAGAGAAGACCAAUCCAUCCUCUUUUCAGUGAUACCAAAUUUAAAAAAUCUCGCAAUAUCACUUUUUUAUAAAAUGAAAGACAUAUUAAAAAUAAAUAACGACAAUCGAAAGGUGCUAAUUUUAAACUUAGACGAAGAAAAUCUUGAAACUAUUACUGUCGCCGAAGAAACAAACUCCGAAGGAUUUAUUCAAGUUAAUUUUACAAAGAAAAUCAAAACCCUUGAAAAUUGAAUAUUGAUAUUAAGUAGAUAUAUUUUCAGUCAUGACUAAAAAAUACGCAACAAUGUAUUGUACAAUCAUCUAAAUAAAUAAACAUAUCAUUAUUUA
Long non-coding RNA from Ceratosolen solmsi marchali, 480 nucleotides. RefSeq lists it as uncharacterized. Lineage: Eukaryota; Metazoa; Arthropoda; Insecta; Hymenoptera; Agaonidae. The record is from RefSeq and is a predicted model, not a curated record. The transcript has 2 exons.